GCCUGUUCGGCCAUAACCAUUCGCAAUAUACUGCACUAACUGUUUAUAGUAGAAGAGGCAAUUCAAUUCACCUCACUAGAUAAUGUCAAGAGUCAAGACCUUAACCAUGGUAAUCUAGAGUAUCAUUAGAACUAACAACCUAUUUAUCCCUGCUUGUUGUUCGCCUCACUGCCUGUUUAAAUAUGUACUUGUAAGUGCAACUAAAGGAUUUCAGUUUCAGCAUAGAAACUACUAGCUUAGUCAGGAACCCAUCACAGUAAUAACCAAACAUCACGUUGCAAUCAUAACUGCAAAAUGUUCGUGCAUAGCUAUAUGUACCUUGGGCAGCCUCCUCUUGCUCCUCCGCCACUUCCUCUUCACCAUCAUCCUCAGCAUCAGUGUCGUCUUCGUAUUCAUCAAAAACGGUGGUACCGUACCUGGUGUUGAGGUAGUCGAUGGCGGCCGGGGUGAAGAAGUGCUUGCGGGCGUCGAGGAUGUCAUAUAGGUUGAGCGUCCUGGGGGUUAGCAUCUUGAGGGUGCCGAUGUUCCUGCCGCUAAGCCGCACAUUAUCAUCAAGCUCCGUGGAGAAGAACAUGGCCUUCUCCUUGGGGUCCAGCCCCCACCGCUGCAGCGCG
RNAcentral lists this long non-coding RNA (614 nucleotides) under Brachypodium distachyon (stiff brome). RNAcentral's name for it is "long non-coding RNA (BDIS_LNC001386)". The record is from RNAcentral. Lineage: Eukaryota; Viridiplantae; Streptophyta; Magnoliopsida; Poales; Poaceae.